GGUGGUUCUAAGGUCUCAUCCAAGAUAGGAGUGAUCGAGUCCUUGUUGGAGAAGGUCGACAUCCUCAUUUUAGGAGGAGGAAUGAUUUUCACUUUCUACAAGGCUCAGGGCUUGCCUGUCGGUUCCUCUUUGGUGGAGGAAGACAAGCUUGAACUCGCAACGACACUUAUUGAGAAGGCCAAGGCGAAAGGAGUAUCUCUUCUGUUACCAACCGAUGUUAUCAUUGCCGACAAGUUCGCCCCUGAUGCAAAUAGCAAGGUGGUGCCCGCAUCAGCAAUUCCAGAUGGUUGGAUGGGACUAGAUAUCGGACCGGACUCAGUUAAGACAUUUAACGAGGUACUGGAGACAACAAAGACCGUCAUUUGGAACGGUCCGAUGGGAGUCUUUGAAUUUGACAAAUUCGCAGUUGGAACCGAGUCAGUCGCAAACAAGCUUGCUGAGCUUAGUGGAAAGGGUGUGACGACGAUCAUCGGAGGUGGAGAUUCUGUUGCAGCCGUUGAGAAGGUGGGAGUAGCGGACGUGAUGAGCCAUAUCUCGACAGGUGGUGGUGCGAGUUUAGAAUUGUUGGAAGGGAAGGAGCUUCCAGGCGUGCUUGCUCUGGAUGAAGCUGUUCCUGUAGCUGUGUGAGGCAAGUUCUGUUUAUGGAAUUUGCGGUUUUCUUGUGAUUCUUUUGGAUUGGGUGCCAAAUGUCUAGAAACAUGAGAGGAUCAUCAUGUUGUCGUUUCGGGGUAGACAAGAAGGAAUUGAUUUACUUGAGUCACCUUUCUUGUUUCUGCUGAAUACUUGCUCGAAAUAAAGCCUAGCUUCA
This 808-nucleotide unclassified non-coding RNA is filed under the name Hevea brasiliensis (rubber tree). Lineage: Eukaryota; Viridiplantae; Streptophyta; Magnoliopsida; Malpighiales; Euphorbiaceae. The record is from RNAcentral.